This 442-nucleotide ribosomal RNA is filed under the name uncultured bacterium. RNAcentral's name for it is "partial 16S ribosomal RNA". It matches the Rfam family "Bacterial small subunit ribosomal RNA", at positions 338 to 795 of the family's 1533-position model. The record is from RNAcentral.
CCUACGGGGGGCAGCAGUAGGGAAUCUUUCACAAUGGGCGAAAGCCUGAUGGAGCAACGCCGCGUGCAGGAUGAAGGCCUUCGGGUUGUAAACUGCUUUUAUAAGCGAGAAAUAUGAUGGUAACUUAUGAAUAAGGAUCGGCUAACUACGUGCCAGCAGCCGCGGUCAUACGUAGGAUCAGCGAAUUAUCCGGGGGGACUGGGUGUAAAGAGUUGCGUAGGUGGCAUACUAAGUAGCGAGUGAAAUCUGGUGGUUUAACCAUUCAGACUAUUAGCUACACUGUGAAGCUCGAGACCGUUAGGGGUGAGUGGAAUUUCAAGUGUAGGAGUGAAAUGCGUAGAGAUUAGAAGGAACACCAAGAGCGUAGGCAGGUUGCUGGGACGGUUCUGACACUAAGGUACGAAAGCGUAGGGAGCAAACGGGAUUAGAUACCCGGGUAGUC